Molecule: ribosomal RNA, 257 nt
Filed under: Salmonella enterica subsp. enterica serovar Worthington str. BCH-3194
Lineage: Bacteria; Pseudomonadati; Pseudomonadota; Gammaproteobacteria; Enterobacterales; Enterobacteriaceae
Description: partial 23S ribosomal RNA
Rfam family: Bacterial large subunit ribosomal RNA
Source: RNAcentral
CUCGCUGUGAAGAUGCAGUGUACCCGCGGCAAGACGGAAAGACCCCGUGAACCUUUACUAUAGCUUGACACUGAACAUUGAGCCUUGAUGUGUAGGAUAGGUGGGAGGCUUUGAAGCGUGGACGCCAGUCUGCGUGGAGCCAACCUUGAAAUACCACCCUUUAAUGUUUGAUGUUCUAACGUGGACCCGUAAUCCGGGUUGCGGACAGUGUCUGGUGGGUAGUUUGACUGGGGCGGUCUCCUCCUAAAGAGUAACGG